This 993-nucleotide ribosomal RNA is filed under the name uncultured Bacteroidota bacterium. RNAcentral describes it as "bacterial SSU rRNA". It matches the Rfam family "Bacterial small subunit ribosomal RNA", at positions 140 to 1153 of the family's 1533-position model. The record is from RNAcentral. Lineage: Bacteria; Pseudomonadati; Bacteroidota.
GGAAUAGCCCCGAAAAUCGGGAUUAUACUCCGUAACAUUGCGCAGUGGCAUCACUGUACAAUUAAAGAUUUAUCGGUUAAAGAUGGGCAUGCGUGACAUACUUGUUGGUGAGUACGGCUCACCAAGGCAACGAUGUCUAGGGUCCUGAAGGUUAUCCCCCACACUGGUACUGAACACGACCAACUCCUACGGAGGCACAUAAGAAUAUGGUCAAUGGGCGCAAGCCUGAACCACCAUGCCGCGUGCAGGAAGACGGCCCUAUGGGUUGUAAACUGCUUUUGUCAGGGAAUAAACCCCCGCUCGUGAGCGGGGCUGAAGGUACCUGAAGAAUAAGCAUCGGCUAACUCCGUGCCAGCAGCCGCGGUAAUACGGAGGAUGCAAGCGUUAUCCGGAUUCAUUGGGUUUAAAGGGUGCGCAGGCGGAUUUUUAAGUCAGGAGUGAAAUCUCUCGGCUCAACCGAGAAACUGCCUUUGAUACUGAAAGUCUAGAGUAUAGUUGAAGUGGGCGGAAUGUGUCAUGUAGCGGUGAAAUGCUUAGAUAUGACACAGAACACCGAUCGCGAAGGCAGCUCGCUAAGCUAUAACUGACGCUCAUGCACGAAAGCGUGGGGAUCAAACAGGAUUAGAUACCCUGGUAGUCCACGCUGUAAACGAUGAUUACUCGAUGUUGGCGAUACACAGUCAGCGUCUGAGCGAAAGCAAUAAGUAAUCCACCUGGGGAGUACGAUCGCAAGAUUGAAACUCAAAGGAAUUGACGGGGGCCCGCACAAGCGGAGGAGCAUGUGGUUUAAUUCGAUGAUACGCGAGGAACCUUACCUGGGCUAGAACGUAGAAUGACUAUAGGUGAAAGCUUAUAUCCCUUCGGGGCAGUCUACGAGGUGCUGCAUGGUUGUCGUCAGCUCGUGCCGUGAGGUGUCGGGUUAAGUCCCAUAACGAGCGCAACCCCUAUCUUUAGUUGCCAACAGGUCAAGCUGGGGACUCUAAAGAAACUGCC